Coregonus clupeaformis (lake whitefish) is the source of this 495-nucleotide long non-coding RNA. RefSeq lists it as uncharacterized. The record is from RefSeq and is a predicted model, not a curated record. Lineage: Eukaryota; Metazoa; Chordata; Actinopteri; Salmoniformes; Salmonidae. The transcript has 3 exons.
AUAAAGUUCAAAAGCUAGCGGUAUCUGUAAAAUACCAUGACCAUUAACAACCAGCAGCUAGGAAACACAUGCUCCAAAACUACCACCAUCAGACAGUGACAGACCCUGAACACACCCACUCCUCAUCAUCUAACUCUCAAGACGAGCAAAGGAGCUACCAGUCAGAGAUAGAUGAGGGGGACGUACAGCCAGAGGAAACAGACACACAACACCUAACAGAGAUGUCUGGUGGUCCCCUCUCCUGCUUCUCCAAACAGGGAAUACUCCUACUCUCUAUCCUCCACUAUGGGAUCUGGGCUGAAGUCACAAAGGAGAAGUAUGGAUUGAAGGGGGGUUCGGUGUGCCUGCCUGUAGAAGAACCACCGGAGGAGCUUGCAAGCCAAAGUUGGAAGGUCAAUAGUACCAUAAUAGUUGCUGACAAAAUGGUCUCUCCUAAAUACAUGGAGAAAGUGGAAUAUAAUCCAGUGAACCACUCUCUGUGCAUUAAGAAUCUGA